AGUUUUAAAAGAAAUUUAGAAGAAACAAAUAAUUCACUUGGACAGUUUUCAUUAUUUGACAAAAUUGCUUCAGGCAUACAGCAGCACAAGUCAGUUGCAGUACAUGAGCCGAUCGAUUACAGAGCCCUGCCAAAAUAUUAUUACUUGUUGACAAUGUGCUACAUGAUAACAGUGAUCAUUAUCAAACUAGAAUGCAUUACAACCCAGGCAGUCCUUAGUGUGCCGAACCCUGGAAACUCUGUGUGCAGCUUGUGUCGAAUAUUACAGAGUUUGCAGAGUUUUAAAAUCUCUGCAAUUACUCAGAAAUCUCCCUGAACAUUUCUUCGUGUCUGGUUGCCGCACUGUGGGAGAACAGAUCAGUUACAGCUCUGGGAUUGAUUAUGCCUAAUGGUCACUGUUCAAUAGCAAUGUUCACAGUAAUGAGGGCUGCUUUGAAAGACACACAUGUCAAUAUCUCUGUUCUGGGUGUGAUUGUGCGCCAUCCGAAAGAUGUAACAGAAGAAAAAGAAGCUCCACUAACUCUCUUCCUUUUCUAAGUCAGUGCCCUGGUUUAUUUUAUUUUUUAUUUUUUUAAUUUGCAUGCUUUUCUGCUAAUAUUUUUUUCCUAAGGUCUUUGCCUGGUGACUCAAGCAAGGUGAAAACACAGGUUUUCAUGCCACUCUAUAAAUUUUUUUACAUCUUGUCAUAUUACAAUCGUAUUUUAUUGGAAUUUUAUGUGAUAUACCCAGUCAAUGUGGUGCGAUAUUGUAAAGUGGAAAGCUAAUGAUGCAUGGUUUUCUUUCUGAAAAGCAGGCUGUGGGCUGUUUUUGGAAAAAAAAAAAAAUCAGAUGAAGUUCUGUUUGCAGUUAGCCACAAUCCAUGUAGGUGACAAAGCAAACAUGUGGACAAGGGUGCUCUGGUCAUAAGAGGUCAAAAUUGGACUUCCUGACAUAUGCAAAAUGCUAGUGGUGGUGAAGAAAGUCCCUGCUGUAAAUACUCCAUUCCAGCUGAUAUACACCCAAAAUACACCAUCGGUGAAACAUGUGGAUAGCAGCAUCACGCUGUGAAAAUCCUCAUCUUCAGCAGGGAAAGACGGAGCUAGAUACAGGAUGGAAGAAAUCAUAUCAGAAACUGCAAAAGACCUGUUUAGCUUUCAGAAGGGUGACAACUCAAAACAUAUCGCCAUGGACACAAUGGAUUGGUCUAGAGCAAAGUCUAUUUACUUGGUAGAAUGGUCCAGUUAAAGUCCACGCCCGCCCAAAUCCUAUUGAACAUUUGAGGCGGGACUGAAAAUUGGCGUUCACGUAUGUUCACCAACCAAUACGGCUCACUUUGAGUGUAUUGGACAUGUGAGUCUAUAGGUGAUAGAGAACUGCCCCAAAAGACCCUGGAGUUGUAAUUGCAAAAAAAAUAUUCACACAAAGUUGAAUUAUGCACACUCAUCUUUGUAGAUUUGUCUCUGUAAUUUGAAUUUGAAAGACACAUAUUCUUCUAUUUAAACUAAUCAGUGUUAGCCCAUUGGGGGAAAAAAAUGUAAUGAAAUCAAGCAGCCUGCAUUCAGUGCGAGCACAUGCAAGAGUAGCGCAAAUAGUCUGCGGCAGCGGCAGAAAUCAGCUCCUGUGUGUAAAUAUUGCAGAGGUAAUUUAGGGCCAAUCUAUGCACGUUUUCUUCAAAACUGCACACAUUUAGACACUCAAAUCGUCCACACACACACACACACACACACACACACGCACACACACUAAUUCCCCCUGAUUUAAAUACCCAAUCCCACGCCUCUGACACAGGCAUGUGAAUUCGGCUCACACCGACUUUCCAUUGGUUGCUGCCCAAGCAUCUCCUCCACGGGGCAUUUCACCGCGCUCCCUGGAACUAGAAGAGACAAGCCUCCAUGUUCUGACUGUGGGGCUGAGGCUUCCAGCUCAGAAGACAGAAUUAAAACAACUCUCGCUCUGGCUUCUGUUUUCCACCUCAUCCACCAACCCCCUCCUCUCCCCGUCAGGUUGUCUCUAUCCUAAUGAAAUUCAUCACAGAUCUGAAUAGAUCGCCUUGCACCAACUCUCACAUGUUCACCCUUCGGCAUGCCUCUUGUGCCUGGAUUUUUUUUGCGCGGCCAACGCCGGUGUUCCGAAUCCAGUGCAAGGGGGAGCGACGCUGAUAAAAACGUUUCCUCUGGUAAAACCGCAUCGCAGCAUGCAUGCAAUGCCCAAUGGCGGACGGCGUUCACAAUCCAGCCUCUCUGUCAACACUGGAGCGACGACAGAGAGAGAGACACAAGAGGACAUUGGAGAUAGCGGCAGAGGGAAACACAAGUGGAUGAGAGAGGAGGCAAUCAGAUUCUGCUGCUGCUCCAAAGAGGGAACUGUGUCUACAGGCUGGGGGCCGAGCGCUGAAUGGUUGGAGCAGACAUGUUGUUCAGGUGCUAACGCGACCAUCUGUUGUUUACAUUCUGCUGCCAUCAACAAUAAUCUGACAAAGAACACAGCUGCACCUCCUCUGCAGUGACAGCGCUUAGUGAGCCCGUGUGUCGCCGUCACUGCGCCGCUCAAACUAAUUAAAAGAUUUGCUUGAGAAAUGCUCCUGAUCCAGCGGUCAAAAAUAAUAAUAAUUAAAAAAAAAAAAAAAGGAUAAAAGUAUUCCGGUUUGACACCAAUUUCUCUGCUCUGUCUUAAAGAGCGGAGAGUCGUGUCAUUAAAAAUAAAGACUGCAGCUGCACACCGCGGUCCAAAAGCUAAUGUGAAAUGAAGCCACGAUGCUGCUGGUCUGCCUUCAUUACUUGUUUUCCUGGCUCCUAAUAAUGCGACUAAAUGUGGCUGCAGCCCAGACAAUUUAGCGUUUAAUGGCAAAGAUUAUCUUUCACCUAUACGCUAAUAAUUAUGGCUAGAAGGGCGAAGUAAGAGAGAGGCUAAGUAAUAAUAAACUAUUGAAUUUUAUUUCUAACAAGAAGCACUUUUUUUUUAGGUCUGAUCCUUUAGCUGAAACUGAUUCAAGCGAGAAAAGUCCUAAUUUUAGCUGGGUAACAUGGGUUGAGUCUUCCUCUUAAAUGAACCACUUGUUUUAUUUAGCAUACUUCCGUAUUGGUUAAUUAGAAAAUCUCUAAGUUUGGAGAUUUUGUUUUUGCCACCUUCCAGAUUGGGUUCUACAGCCAGUAGGGAUUGCUACUGUGAACAGCUACCUUGGUUCUUCUUUUUCCACCCUUUUUCAAUUUCUCACUACUUACAUGACGGGGUUCACGAAAAAUGUAUUCUGCAAAGAAAAACAGAAACCUUAUGUGGAAUCGCUAUAGAAUAUUUAUCUGUUCGACAGCAAUCUUGUGCUUCAGAAAAUGUAUUUUAAAUAGUACUAUCCAACAUAAGACGGCACCUAAUGUCUAUGCUUGUGCUCCCCCUUACAUAUUGCCGCCCAUGGUGGGGAGCCACAUAGCCCAAGUCAAGAAAUGACACCAGCAAAAGCUGAUAUGAAAUGGCUAAAUAAUGCUUUUUAUCUUUUUUUUUCUUGAUGUUACACAUUUUUAUAGUAGAAUCUACAAAGGGAGCCAAAGUAAUUCCACCUCUUUUUACUCUACCAGACAAUUAGAGUCCAUAAGAAUGCUAAUGUAGGUGCUUGGUGUGAAAGGACCUUGAUGGUCAGCGCAGAGUGCUGACCUCAACUCCACAAAAGACUUUCGGCAUGAAUUAGAGCAAAGACCGCGAGUCAGGCUUCCUUGCAUGUGGUAACAGUGGAAAGGAAUGUCCAGUCUCAGGAGGAAACAGAAAUGGCGCAGAAGCCCGCCGUAGUCAUGGAGUACGGUCUGCGAGAAAGAGAAACAAAGAAUACACAAAGUGAAUGACAGAAACGGUGUGGCCAGAAAGACAACGAGAUAACACGCAGCAAAGACAAUCCGCCCAGCACACAACGUCGUGCUUUGUUGUCGACUCUAAAUGUGACUCAUCGCUCUGCGGCACCAAGACUGUGAGGAACGUUUUUCAAUUAGAGCUGCAGUUAGCUAUCAAAAAAUAAUAAAAAAAAGAGCGUCGCAGAUUAUUUUAGAAGACUCGCAAACAACUGUAGUGUUCGGACGACGUUUAAUGAGGUAACAGAGGACGUGCAUCAGAUUCCCUCUGUAUUGCUUUUCAGACGCGUUUGUGUUCCGAUCUUGGCAGAAUCUCCACACGCGUUUCAGCUGUCUUUAAUUUCAGUUAUCCCGGAUGUGACCGACAGCUACUGCCCGGAUGUGACCGACAGCUACUGCCCGGAUGUGACCGACAGCUACUACCACACAGAAAACGCAGCCCUGGUGGUUUAGAGGCGCCUUCGUAAUGGCCUUGUUUGAGGCAGGUCAAACGAGUCCGGAUUACUGGUGUGAAAUUUAGAAAACCGAGUCAGAGUUCGUCCGGUGCUGUAGGUGAACAAAUAAAAAAGUAUUUUCCUCUGAGAGUGUGUGAGUGUGUGUGUGUGUGUGUGUGUGUGUGUGUGUGUGUGUGCUUGUGUAAUAGCUGUAUUACUAAACCAGAUUAUAUUUUCUUCUUUGUCCUUGACAUAGUUAGAUUCCUGCGGCUGCGUUCGGCAUGAUUCCACCCGUGGACACAGCGUCCAUGUUGCGCUCCACGUCUACCUGUCCAGGUUCCCUGAAUCUGCUGGGUCAACUUCCAUUAACGUCCUCUGCUCAGUCUCUGCAGAGAGGAGAUGCAAAGUGGGCAGCAGAGGAUGGAAAUAGAUUUUGGUUCAAACAGCCCUCAGUUCCUCGCCUCAGACCAUUUUGACUAAUGAGCCCAUAUUGCUGAGGGGUUAAUUCCCAAAGGGUGCACAUGGAGGACGCCAGUGCCCCCUUCUCCUUGCCCCAUUUUUCUGUCUGUGUGACUGCAUGCCUGCAUGUUUCAGCGUCUGCCCAGUGCACCGGGUAGUUUAUUUCUUUUUAGGUCGCAAUCCAAAAUGAAAAGUAAAAAAAAAAACUGGGUCUCCUACGCCGAAUGACUGUCUCAUGUUAGGUCCAGAAACAUCAGCACAAAAGUUAAAACUGCUGGUCAAACCCCACCGAGGCACGAUGUUUGUGACCCAAAAUGUUGCAGCAGGACGAGUCCAAUACUGCUGAACUGGCUCCGCCGAGUUCAACCUUUAACCUCGCAUUGCCAAAGCUGAUCAGUGGAACAAUGAUCACAUGCUUUUCUGUGUGGAGUCAACCAUUUGCUGUUCCUGGAAUAGAGCAUCACAAAGCCUGACCUCAGAUAGUAAAAAUUGACAAAUGAACAUGGAAAAGUCCAGUUGGAAGGAGACGAGGGCGACAGCAGAUUUGCAAUACGUCUGAUUAACCAUUAGCAGACUGCCAAAGGUUGAGCUUCGCUUAAAGAUAAGCAUGGGCAGUUCAGAGGUUAACAUAACAUGAGCUGCUGAGUCUCGAGGGAAACUCGAGGGACCGUUGUGACUCCGUGGUCACUCAGAGUGUCGGCAGGUUGCCACGACCACCUGAAUGUCUCCUUGGCACUUUUCCUGUCAUUUUGCCGUGAAGGACAAUGGCCAACAGGACACAGACCUCCUCUCACCUCACUCUGUCUGCUGAAAUAAUAACUCAUUCUUUUUCAGUGUCUAAAAAUGUAAUCCGUGUGUGCCAAUAUUCCUAAAGCUGCUUAGUCUCAUGUGUAUUGAACAAAGAGAGAAAUUAGUACAAAAAGUAAAAUUAUUCCUCAUAUUUUGAUUUCCAAUAAAAAAAGUAUCUUCACUGAAAUAAGAUUUUCACAUUUCUAAGUGCUUCUCUCUUAAAUUUAACUAUGUUAGUCCAUCUCUAAAUUUACCUUUAACUUUCAAAAUGCGUCGUCUUAACCGUCAAGUUUGUUAUCUCCAAAUAUCUUAAGACAUCUUUACAUUUUUAACGUACAUUUUUAGAGGUCACAAGAAAUAUUUUUCCAUCUCUAAUUUCUUCAUGAAGUUCUGCAGAUUUCCACAUUUACCGGGUGUUAAAUUUCUAAAUAAAUGCUUACCUUUUUCUCAUUUUUACGAUGAAUUCACUUUUUCUGAUUUUGAAAUUAGUUGAUAUUUUGAGAAGCUGAUAAACUGAGUUUAAGAAGAGAAAUCACAAAUUCUCAGUCAUAGCGAUUCUGUGUGGACGCAGCAGAAGUUGGCUUAACAUCUGCAUUGUUUGAGAGAAAGAAAUGACAAAAAGAUAAAGGUAGAAAUAAAAAACCUGAUAACAGAAGAUAAAAAAAAUCGUUUUUUAUUAAAUUGUGUCCUUGUAGUACAGAAAUAUGGAAUAAACCAAAUAAAGGGCUUUAUUUAAUGACAUACUUGCAUUCUGUAUUUCUGUCUAAUCACACAUUUACAACAGUUAUCAUUUGUCCGAUAUCAGAAAAAAAAAAAAGGUCCUUAUUUCUUCUGUGGUUUAUUUUCUCUCUCUGUGACUCAGCAGCUUAUGAAAGCAGUCAGCUCUUACAUAAAAACAGUCUCUGUCUCAUUUUUUUGUGCUUCAUAGGCCUAUUUUUAAUUUAGUGGUAUGAAAUCGUCAGACUCAUAUGAGAUGGAAAAUAAGCUGUAAGAUAUCUGUGGAAAUUAUUUGCCUUUUAACCACUUGAAUGCUUGCAUGCUCCACCCUGUGCUGCCACCUACUGUCGGGGGGUGGGGGGAGCAUUUUAAAUUCCUGGUCUCUCUUGAAUAAAAUCUUUUGUAUUUAAAAUGGCUUCCCAGUGGGCUAGGAACUGGAUUAAACAUGAGUUUCCAUCCUCUGAA
Molecule: long non-coding RNA, 6675 nt
Organism: Poecilia reticulata (guppy)
Lineage: Eukaryota; Metazoa; Chordata; Actinopteri; Cyprinodontiformes; Poeciliidae
Source: RefSeq, a predicted model, not a curated record